Molecule: small nucleolar RNA, 126 nt
Organism: Pteronotus mesoamericanus
Lineage: Eukaryota; Metazoa; Chordata; Mammalia; Chiroptera; Mormoopidae
Product: small nucleolar RNA SNORA26
Exons: 1
Source: RefSeq, a predicted model, not a curated record
GUAACUGAGGAAUGAAAAACAUGCAGUGCCUAAAGGAGCUAACACAGAAGGGUGAAGUAAGUCUUCAUAAAACCCACGAGAAGAGACGGUAAAACUUGUCUUUGGAUUCCAUCCAGAGUUAUAGCU